Molecule: ribosomal RNA, 482 nt
Filed under: uncultured bacterium
Lineage: Bacteria
Description: bacterial SSU rRNA
Rfam family: Bacterial small subunit ribosomal RNA
Source: RNAcentral
AUUGAACGCUGGCGGCAUGCUUUACACAUGCAAGUCGAACGGUAACAGGUCUUCGGAUGCUGACGAGUGGCGAACGGGUGAGUAAUACAUCGGAACGUGCCCGAUCGUGGGGGAUAACGCAGCGAAAGCUGUGCUAAUACCGCAUACGAUCUACGGAUGAAAGCGGGGGAUCGCAAGACCUCGCGCGGACGGAGCGGCCGAUGGCAGAUUAGGUAGUUGGUGGGAUAAAAGCUUACCAAGCCGACGAUCUGUAGCUGGUCUGAGAGGACGACCAGCCACACUGGGACUGAGACACGGCCCAGACUCCUACGGGAGGCAGCAGUGGGGAAUUUUGGACAAUGGGCGCAAGCCUGAUCCAGCCAUGCCGCGUGCAGGAUGAAGGCCUUCGGGUUGUAAACUGCUUUUGUACGGAACGAAAAAGCUCUCUCUAAUACAGGGGGUGAAUGACGGUACCGUAAGAAUAAGCACCGGCUAACUACGUG